Molecule: long non-coding RNA, 261 nt
Filed under: Carica papaya (papaya)
Lineage: Eukaryota; Viridiplantae; Streptophyta; Magnoliopsida; Brassicales; Caricaceae
Description: long non-coding RNA (CPAP_LNC011138)
Source: RNAcentral
UAUGUGAUGUGAAGUAUUUAUAACCAUCUCACGUUGAUGUGGACCGUCCAUCACGAUCAAUCUUGUUCGUCUAAUCGCUCCUAAGAAGGAAACGAAUAUGGGUCGUUCAUCGCGAUUAACCUCGACCGUCCAAUCACGCUUAAGGGAGAAACGAAUCCAGGUUGUCCACGCGUGCGGGAUCGAUCAUGGGCCGUCUGAUCGCGGACACGCGGAUCGCCAGCAUGACCAAACUUUCUCUAUUUGCAUUUUGACCAUCUACUU